This is a long non-coding RNA of Sinocyclocheilus anshuiensis, 214 nucleotides long. RefSeq lists it as uncharacterized. The transcript has 3 exons. Lineage: Eukaryota; Metazoa; Chordata; Actinopteri; Cypriniformes; Cyprinidae. The record is from RefSeq and is a predicted model, not a curated record.
CACCUUUUGAUUUUGAUGAAAGUGACGUGUACAUGUCGUCUCAUGAGCAUCGUUUCCGCCUCUUCAGCUCAGUGGAGUAUGAAGGACAGCUGUACAUGACUCCUCAGAACUUCAUCGAGUCAGUCACCAUGAGCGAACCCCGCAUGAAGAAACCUUGGAGGUCCCUCACCAAACAGGAGUUGGAGAAGAUCUUGUCCGACACUCCACCAGUGUG